This 150-nucleotide ribosomal RNA is filed under the name Trichomonas vaginalis G3. Its description in RNAcentral is "5.8S ribosomal RNA". It matches the Rfam family "5.8S ribosomal RNA". From Rfam's summary of the family: 5.8S ribosomal RNA (5.8S rRNA) is a component of the large subunit of the eukaryotic ribosome. It is transcribed by RNA polymerase I as part of the 45S precursor that also contains 18S and 28S rRNA. Functionally, it is thought that 5.8S rRNA may be involved in ribosome translocation. The record is from Rfam by way of RNAcentral. Lineage: Eukaryota; Parabasalia; Trichomonadida; Trichomonadidae.
GUCUCUAAGCAAUGGAUGUCUUGGCUCCUCACACGAUGAAGAACGUGGCAUAAUGUGUUAAGUAACCGGAGUUGCAAACAUCAUGACAGGUUAAUCUUUGAAUGCAAAUUGCGCUAAACUCGAUCUCGGUCGAGAAGCAUGGGUGUGACA